This 3103-nucleotide long non-coding RNA is filed under the name Selaginella moellendorffii. Its description in RNAcentral is "long non-coding RNA (SMOE_LNC001781)". The record is from RNAcentral. Lineage: Eukaryota; Viridiplantae; Streptophyta; Lycopodiopsida; Selaginellales; Selaginellaceae.
CAGCACGAACUAUUGAGGAGAUAAAGCAGCUGGUCAAGGGCCAGGAGCCCGUAGAAUAUUUGACAGCCGUGCAGGGCGUUGUGACCGUGGGUGAAGCCUUGGCCGGGGACUACAUGAUAUCUGCGACGCUCACCGACAACAGCUCCUCAGUGUCACGGAAAGUCAUCCUAGUGCAGUCACACGAGACAAAGAAGGAAGUUGCGAUCCUGGAGAAACUAAGCCUUCACGAGUGCAUACUUGAGUUGCUUGGCAUCUUUCCAUAUGGUGAGUCCAAGCCUUAGACACCGACCUGCCUUUGAUGAAAAGUGUGACAUCUACUCACUGGGAGUGGUGAUUUGGGAGCACAUCACUGGGAACUUUCCUUUCGCCAAAUACACUAACUACCGAAAACUUACCAGAGAUCGGAGCGAAAAUGUUGCCCUCUUAAAAAAGCGAACUUAAGUGACAAACUCAAAAGUUAAAGAGUGAGUUUGGAUAAUCACGAAGCGUUCCUCACUUCCACUUGCAGUGGAAGUAAAAGAGUAGCAGCAAUAAGAAUACAAACAUCUUGGUUUUAUUUUUCUUUCUCUUGGCUUGGAUUCGAUUCGCUUGAAACGAUGGAACUUUAGCUGGCGAGAGCUUCCUUGAGCUCCUUAUUCUCUUUCAUCUCCAUGAUAAUGUCACAGCCCCCGAUAAGCUCGCCUUUGAGGUAGAGCUGAGGAUAAGUUGGCCAGUUUGAGAAUGCCUUGAGCCCCUCGUCACUGAGAAUAUCAAAGCUGCCAAAUUCGAUGCCUUCCUCCUUGAGUGCGCUUGCCACCUUCUUGCUAAACCCGCACUUUGGCUCCUCGGGCGUCCCUUUCAUGAAAAGCAUUGUCGGGGACGAGUGAAUCAGCUUUUUCAGCCGGCUGUUGAUGUCUUCCUUUUCCUCUGUCGCCCCCACAGCUUCCUUGAGCUCGCCACUCUUGUGCAUUUCCAUGACGAUGUCGCAUCCACCUAUCAGCUCGCCCUUGACGUAUAGCUGCGGAAACGUUGGCCAGUUGGAGAAGGACUUGAUGCCUUGCCGGACCUCUUCGUCGCUCAGAAUGUCGAAGGAGCCAAAAGGAACUCCCACCUCCUCGAGUGCUCCCGCAACUUUCUUGCUGAAACCGCACUUUGGCUCCGACGGACUCCCUUUCAUGAACAGCAUCACGUCGUGCGAGUGGAUAAGCUUUUUUAGACGCUCCUCGAGAGUUUCCUCCGGUCCCUUGUCGGAUCCAUUGGCGUGAGCUUUGCUGCCAUUCUCUUGCGACUUUAGCUUGGCGUCCGCAAGAGCUUCUCCCAGCUCCCCACUCUUGUGCAUCUCCAUUAUCACAUCACACCCUCACAAACAGCACACAAUAGUAAGAAAAAAACGACCAAAUGCAGCGAUUGAGUGACUUUUCCUUUUCUACCUUUAUAAAAACGAAGUAAGGCACCAAAGAAACGCUGUACUUUUCGGAUAUUUCUGGAUGCUCCUCGGCUUCAACCUGUGAGUACAAUAAUUGGUGGAUGUUUAUUAGUCAAGUCUAGGCAAAUCAGAGAAGAGAAAAUCGAGCACACGCCCUGUCAAGCGAGACAUGGCAUACGGCACUGCAAGAUCCAGAAGAGAAGGGGAAAAAAAAAUAGCACCACCAACAACCAGACUCACUUAAGAAUGAGACUUGCCAUUCACAACUCCACAACAAAAAUGUGACCGAUUUAGAAACGUGGAAGAUGAAAGAGAAACAAAAAAAACAAGACAAGCAGCAGCGAAUCGAGAAAAAAAUAAAUAAAUAAAAAUAAAAUGCGAUCCGAGAAAUCGGUGAAGUAUUAACCGGUGAAGUAUUGUAUACAAACCCGGAGAAAUCUGGCCCGCGGUGCAGUGUCGGCACAGAGCUGCUCGAAGACGACAUCCAUUUGCUUGGAGGCCUCGCACCAGGGCGUACGGAAAUGGAGCACGACCGAUUUACCAGCCUUGACAACCUCGUCGAGAUGCGCCAAUCCACGAGCUUCUUCCACCAUGAGCGCCAUGGCUCUCCCUCUUCGAUCGCUCGAGACCCUAGAACAGAGGAGACCUAGGGCAAGCUUUUAAAGAGGACGAGCAAGCGCAUAUUCCCUCCCAACAGAUAGCGCAUAUUCCACCACCGCCCCACCCAACGUUGUAGUGGUCAAACAGAGACCGCUUCUAUACAUAGACAUCAGCAAAGAAACUAAAGAAAUUAAGAGAGAUUUAUUUCUGAAGCACUAGAAUACAUUACAAAAUACCUUAUGCACUUCUUUCUUCAGCUCGCCCACUUGCCACGUCAGCACUCAGUUAGGGCUCAAUCAAACUAGACACCGUUAUCACCAGUGUCACUUUAGCCCAUUAUAACGUGCAAAACCCCGUUUUCGUGCAUCGGGCGCCACGUGUUGAGCUGUGGCCGGCCAGAUUACUAUACUAGGAGAGUGAUGUGGAUAAAAUAUGUGUGAAGAUUGAUUCACCGGGAUAUGGCGACUGAGGGCUUGGUCGCCGCAGGGGCUAGUGCAGCAUUGGGAGCUCUUCGAGGAGAUCUUCGAGGAACAGCCGACCUUCUGAUCAAGCUUGCUUGUGCUGCUCGCAACAGCAUAGGCAGAUGCCAGGCGAUGGCAGACAAGGUGAACAUGGUUACCACCGCCCUCGAGAGCAGAUCAUACAGGUACGACGAUGUCAACCUUCAGGCUAAUCUAGAAAAGCUGCUAGUUGUGAUGAAAGACUGCGUGUGUCUUGUCGAGAAACACAGCAAGACGAGUGCGGUGAGCUUCUUCUUCUCGUGCCACGCUCUCACUGUUGACGAAUUUGACGACCUCGACGCGCGCCUCAAUCGCUGCAUCAGCUGCUUGAAUCUGAACUUCCACAUCUCCUCGUAUGAUUGCAGUCAUGAGCACAAAGACGAGAUCAUAGCCCAUAUACAGGCCAACACAGCACGAACAGCACGAACUAUUGAGGAGAUAAAGCAGCUGGUCAAGGGCCAGGAGCCCGUAGAAUAUUUGACAGCCGUGCAGGGCGUUGUGACCGUGGGUGAAGCCUUGGCCGGGGACUACAUGAUAUCUGCGACGCUCACCGACAACAGCUCCUCAGUGUCACGGAAAGUCAUCCUAGUGCAGUCAC